UACGGAGGGUGCAAGCGCUAAUCGGAAUUACUGGGCGUAAAGCGUACGUAGGCGGUCAAUUAAGUCAGAUGUGAAAGCCCCGAGCUUAACUUGGGAACUGCAUUUGAAACUGGUUGGCUAGAGUGUGGUAGGGGGAGGUAGAAUUCCAUGUGUAGCGGUGAAAUGCGUAGAGAUGUGGAGGAAUACCGGUGGCGAAGGCGGCCCACUGGACAAAGACUGACGCUGAGGUGCGAAAGCGUGGGGAGCAAACGGG
RNAcentral lists this ribosomal RNA (253 nucleotides) under uncultured bacterium. Its description in RNAcentral is "partial 16S ribosomal RNA". It matches the Rfam family "Bacterial small subunit ribosomal RNA", at positions 524 to 776 of the family's 1533-position model. The record is from RNAcentral.